GGGAUGCCGUUGAAGGGAGGAAGAACUUGACAGAAGAUGCAGGUGGCUGCCUGCUCAGCAAGUAAACCUUACACGUUCGUUCUGUCUUUACUACUCAACUGUCUAACUAAUAUUGCAAUGUUAAGACAUUCUGAUGUACUAAUUGCUGCUGUUAAUUGGAAAAAGUAGAGAGACGUGUAUUGCUUCAAAUUCUGGCGGGAACUGAUUCAUAUCACUGCAAGACAUGUUUUUGUGCACA
This 238-nucleotide unclassified non-coding RNA is filed under the name Hevea brasiliensis (rubber tree). The record is from RNAcentral. Lineage: Eukaryota; Viridiplantae; Streptophyta; Magnoliopsida; Malpighiales; Euphorbiaceae.